This 31-nucleotide non-coding RNA is filed under the name Macaca fascicularis (crab-eating macaque). The record is from RNAcentral. RNAcentral also lists the same sequence under 1 other name. Lineage: Eukaryota; Metazoa; Chordata; Mammalia; Primates; Cercopithecidae.
UCCCAGGGCUUGCCCUGAAGGUAUCUGAGAU